GGACCCGCACAAGUAGUGGAGCAUGUGGUUUAAUUCGAAGAUACGCGCAGAACCUUACCAACACUUGACAUGUUCGUCGCGACUUUAAGAGAUUAGAGUUUUCGGUUCGGCCGGACGAAACACAGGUGCUGCAUGGCUGUCGUCAGCUCGUGUCGUGAGAUGUUGGGUUAAGUCCCGCAACGAGCGCAACCCUCACUUUUAGUUGCCAUCAUUUAGUUGGGCACUCUGAAAGAACUGCCAGUGAUAAGCUGGAGGAAGGUGGGGAUGACGUCAAGUCCUCAUGGCCCUUACGUGUUGGGCUACACACGUGCUACAAUGGUAUCUACAACAGGAAGCAAAACUGCGAAGUUAAGCAAAUCCCAAAAAGAUACCUCAGUUCGGAUUGCACUCUGCAACUCGAGUGCAUGAAGCUGGAAUUACUAGUAAUCG
RNAcentral lists this ribosomal RNA (429 nucleotides) under uncultured bacterium. RNAcentral's name for it is "bacterial SSU rRNA". It matches the Rfam family "Bacterial small subunit ribosomal RNA", at positions 917 to 1344 of the family's 1533-position model. The record is from RNAcentral.